Molecule: non-coding RNA, 136 nt
Organism: Brachypodium distachyon (stiff brome)
Lineage: Eukaryota; Viridiplantae; Streptophyta; Magnoliopsida; Poales; Poaceae
Source: Rfam
UAUAUACUUCCUUUGUCCAACAAAAUAUGUAUUAGGUUUGUCAAAAUUUGGAUGUAUCUAAACAUGACUUGGUGUAUAAAUGCAUUCAAAUUUAGUCAAAGUUGAGAUAUCCUUUGUUGGACGGAGGGAGUACCUC